Long non-coding RNA from Oreochromis niloticus (Nile tilapia), 320 nucleotides. RefSeq lists it as uncharacterized. The record is from RefSeq and is a predicted model, not a curated record. The transcript is spliced from 3 exons. Lineage: Eukaryota; Metazoa; Chordata; Actinopteri; Cichliformes; Cichlidae.
UUUCGGGUUCAAUGGUGCGUGUUCUUCUAAUGGCCGCCUUCCCACUGGAGGUUUUGAUCCACAGCAAUUUAAAAGGAGGACAGAUCAAAACGGACGUCGGCGCAGAGUGAAGAACUGCCCUUCAUAAGGACUCUAUGACAGCCAUAUAUAUGGCAGUAAGGAAGAGGUUUCCCAAUGUGUCCAGAAGGGCUUUGGGGAUUGCAGUGAAAGCUGGGGGAACUGAGACUGCUGGAAAAGGAAAAGAAAUUACAUUUAAAGUAUGUUGACUUAUGUUCAUACAAUCACACACACAUAUACACAUACACACACAUAUGUGUACA